Alligator sinensis (Chinese alligator) is the source of this 844-nucleotide long non-coding RNA. RefSeq lists it as uncharacterized. Lineage: Eukaryota; Metazoa; Chordata; Crocodylia; Alligatoridae. The record is from RefSeq and is a predicted model, not a curated record. The transcript has 3 exons.
CUUUAGUCCUUAUCCUUGCCUGUCAUUUCUUUUUUAGAUCAUUGCUCCCUUUGAGAGGCAGGGAUCAGCAGAGGCAGGCUCAUGUAUUAUUGAAAGAGACGAUGUUAGCCUCAAUCACCGCAUUCGGCAUUUCGGAGAUAAUACGACAAGAGCUGCAAAACCAGCCGGGAAGCCGGGAGAAACGGACUUUGAAAGGGUCACAUUUCUAGAGGGAGUGCUGAGCGCCUGGAAGUGACCCAGAAGGCAGCAAAAUGGACGGGAAAGCCCCCCAGCUGUGGCCAGGAAGAUGACGUGCUUGCCAAUUCUUGUUUCCCAAGAACGAGUCACGUUUCAAUAAUCCUCGCAGGCGACCUUUGCAGAACGGCGCUGGGGAAUGCUGAGGUUCGCUGCUGCUCUGCGGAAGACAUAAGAAGUGGGCGGGAGGGGCGGGGGAAUAGGGGAGGCAGAAGCAUUGCCACCAAAAUGCGUUUCCAAUGUAAUGAAGACAUUAAGUAUUUAUGAAAAGGAUAAUUAACAUUCAAAUGACAGGAGCGAUGGAAACAAAUAGGAACUGUUCCCAAAAUUGUUUGCGCGUUGGCCCGCGCCAGAUACUCUUGCUAAGCUAAUGAGAAGAACCUCUGCGGUGCCAGUGUUUGGGUUGUAAUUAGGGCUGAGCUGAUGGAGAAUAAGCCAAGAGGAAAUAAAGUAAACAGUCCGGAAAGAGAGAAAGAAAAAAACCCUCUCCCAAAACGUCGCUGUGCCACAUACGGGCUAUGAUUUGUUUGCGUCUCCAUGGGAAAUGUAAAGUGCAGCAGCUGUGCAGUACUUAUUGGGUUCCCCGAUUCCCCCGUCUCCCUUUUGCAAA